Molecule: ribosomal RNA, 252 nt
Filed under: uncultured bacterium
Lineage: Bacteria
Description: partial 16S ribosomal RNA
Rfam family: Bacterial small subunit ribosomal RNA
Source: RNAcentral
UACGGAGGAUGCGAGCGUUAUCCGGAUUUAUUGGGUUUAAAGGGUGCGCAGGCGGCACGGCAAACCGGCGGUCAAAUCGCGGGGCUCAACCCCGCCCAGCCGUCGGAACUGCCGGGCUAGAGUGGGCGAGAAGUGCGCGGAAUGCGUGGUGUAGCGGUGAAAUGCAUAGAUAUCACGCAGAACUCCGAUUGCGAAGGCAGCGCACCGGCGCCCUACUGACGCUCAGGCACGAAAGCGUGGGUAUCGAACAGG